GACGAACGCUGGCGGCGUGCUUAACACAUGCAAGUCGAACGGAAAGCCCCUGCUUUUGUGGGGUGCUCGAGUCGCGAACGGGUGUGUAACACGUGAGUCACCUGCCCUUGACUUUGGGAUAACUUCAGGAAACUGGGGCUAAUACCGGAUACGAGCUCCUGCUGCAUGGUGGGUGUUGGAAAGUUUCGGCGGUUGGGGAUGGACUCGCGGCUUUUCAGCUUUUUGGUGGGGUAGUGGCUUACCAAGGCUUUGACGGGUAGCCGGCCUGAGAGGGUGACCGGCCACAUUGGGAAUGAGAUACGGCCCAGACUCCUACGGGAGGCAGCAGUGGGGAAUGUUGCACAAUGGGCGGAAGCCUGAGGCAGCAACGCCGCGUGCGGGAUGACGGCCUUCGGGUUGUAAACAGCUUUCGCCUGUGACGAAGCGUGAGUGAAGGUAAUGGGUAAAGAAGCACCGGCUAACUACGUG
Molecule: ribosomal RNA, 468 nt
Filed under: uncultured bacterium
Lineage: Bacteria
Description: partial 16S ribosomal RNA
Rfam family: Bacterial small subunit ribosomal RNA
Source: RNAcentral